AGUGAACGCUGGCGGUAGGCCUAACACAUGCAAGUCGAACGGCAGCACAGUAAGAGCUUGCUCUUACGGGUGGCGAGUGGCGGACGGGUGAGGAAUACAUCGGAAUCUACUUUUUCGUGGGGGAUAACGUAGGGAAACUUACGCUAAUACCGCAUACGACCUACGGGUGAAAGCAGGGGAUCUUCGGACCUUGCGCGAUUGAAUGAGCCGAUGGCGGAUUAGCUAGUUGGCGGGGUAAAGGCCCACCAAGGCGACGAUCCGUAGCUGGUCUGAGAGGAGGAUCAGCCACAAUGGGACUGAGACACGGUCCAGACUCCUACGGGAGGCAGCAGUGGGGACUAUUGCACAAUGGGCGCAAGCCUGAUGCAGCCAUGCCGCGUGUAUGAAGAAGGCCUUCGGGUUGUAAAGUACUUUCAGCGGGGAGGAAGGGAGUAAAGUUAAUACCUUUGCUCAUUGACGUUACCCGCAGAAGAAGCACCGGCUAACUCCGUG
This 492-nucleotide ribosomal RNA is filed under the name uncultured bacterium. RNAcentral describes it as "partial 16S ribosomal RNA". It matches the Rfam family "Bacterial small subunit ribosomal RNA", at positions 29 to 507 of the family's 1533-position model. The record is from RNAcentral.